GGAGAGGUGGCUGAGUGGUCUAAGGCGGCGGUCUCGAAAACCGUUGUGGCGCUUGCGUCACCGUGGGUUCGAAUCCCACCCUCUCCGCCA
This 90-nucleotide transfer RNA is filed under the name Pseudomonadota bacterium. Its description in RNAcentral is "tRNA-Ser". It matches the Rfam family "tRNA". Rfam says of the family: Transfer RNA (tRNA) molecules are approximately 80 nucleotides in length. Their secondary structure includes four short double-helical elements and three loops (D, anti-codon, and T loops). Further hydrogen bonds mediate the characteristic L-shaped molecular structure. tRNAs have two regions of fundamental functional importance: the anti-codon, which is responsible for specific mRNA codon recognition, and the 3' end, to which the tRNAs corresponding amino acid is attached (by aminoacyl-tRNA synthetases). tRNAs cope with the degeneracy of the genetic code in two manners: having more than one tRNA (with a specific anti-codon) for a particular amino acid; and 'wobble' base-pairing, i.e. permitting non-standard base-pairing at the 3rd anti-codon position. RNAcentral also lists the same sequence under 1 other name. The record is from RNAcentral. Lineage: Bacteria; Pseudomonadati; Pseudomonadota.